Molecule: ribosomal RNA, 541 nt
Filed under: uncultured bacterium
Lineage: Bacteria
Description: bacterial SSU rRNA
Rfam family: Bacterial small subunit ribosomal RNA
Source: RNAcentral
UGGGGAAUAUUGCACAAUGGGCGCAAGCCUGAUGCAGCAAUGCCGCGUGAGUGAAGACGGCCUUAGGGUUGUAAAACUCUUUCGCUAGGGAAGAUAAUGACGGUACCUAGUAAAGAAGUCCCGGCUAACUCCGUGCCAGCAGCCGCGGUAAUACGGAGGGGACUAGCGUUGUUCGGAAUUACUGGGCGUAAAGAGUUCGUAGGCGGACUAGCAAGUUAGAGGUGAAAUCCCAGGGCUCAACCUUGGAACUGCCUUUAAAACUGCUAGUCUAGAGACCGGAAGAGGUUAGGGGAAUACCUAGUGUAGAGGUGAAAUUCGUAGAUAUUAGGUGGAACACCAGUGGCGAAGGCGCCUAACUGGUCCGGUACUGACGCUGAGGAACGAAAGCGUGGGGAGCAAACAGGAUUAGAUACCCUGGUAGUCCACGCCGUAAACGAUGAGUGCUAGGUGUGGGGAUCGUUUCCACGAUCUCCGUGCCGUAGCUAACGCAUUAAGGCGCCCCGCCUGGGGAGUACGGCCGCAAGGCUAAAACUCAAAUGAA